Long non-coding RNA from Cyprinus carpio carpio, 1326 nucleotides. The record is from Ensembl. Lineage: Eukaryota; Metazoa; Chordata; Actinopteri; Cypriniformes; Cyprinidae.
CACAUGCCAGAGAAAAAGAAGAAUACUGCAUUUAAUUUCAGAUGAAACACUCGCUGAGCUCCUCAUCUGCACGUUCGGAUCCGCCUCUCAUCCUGAGCACCUGAACGCACCCUGACCUUUGACCUCAGACAUGUUCUGGUCACAGUAUAAUGUAGUACCUCUUGGAAUGUUGUUGCUAAGGUAUUCUGGGUGGUUACUAUGGUACUUCUAUCCACCUGCUGAGGCUAUCUGAGGCUGUUUCUAAUUUAAAGUAGUUGCCAGGGUGUUUCAACUUAGUUUCUAAGGUGAUGUGAAUUGUUGUUGGGUGUUUUGUUUUGUUUUCAAGUACAUUGUUAUGCGGUUGCCUUGGUGUUGAUAUGUGGUUGCUAAGAUGAUGUCUAUAAAAUUUUAUACAUUUCUAUGAAGUAUUGAAAGUAUUAUGGGGUGUUUCCAGGGCGUUGCUAAGUUACUAGUCUAUUGAGAGUGGUUGCCAGAGUUUUUGUACCAACUUUCUAAGGUAUUGUGACUUGUCUUUUUUUUUUCAAAGUACAUUGUUACAUGGUUGCCCAGGGUGUUGCUAUGUGGUUGCUAAGAUGUUGCUAAGAUGAUGUCAGUUGCUAAGUUACUAGUCUAUUGAGAGUGGUUGCCGGGGUGUUUCUACCCACUUUCUAAGGUAUUGUGACUUGUUUUUUUGUUUUCUGUUUUUUGAAGUCUAUGUUCAAAUAUUUAAACAUAGGACCCCAAUAUAUAUUUACUUAUAUAUUUACGUUUAUACUAAUAUAUAUAUGCUUUUAAAGUUUUUAUUAAUUAUGUAUAUUACUAUUACUAUUACUACUAUGUAUUACUAAUGUAAUAUAUAAAUAAUAAUUAUAUAUUAUAUGCAUUUAUGAGUGUGUGUGUGUGUGUGUGUGUGUGUGUGUGUGUGUGUGUGUGUGUGUGUGUGUGUGUGUGUGUGUGUGUGUGUGUGUGUUAAUUUUUGAUUAGUAAUAUGCAUUGCUAAGAACUUCAUUUGAACAACUUUAAAGGUGAUUUUCUUAAUAUUUUAAUUUUUUGCACCCUCAGAUUCCAGAUUUUCAAAUAUUGUCCUCCUAACAAACCAGACAAAUGUGAAAAUUAGAAAUGUUGGCAACUAACUGAAAAAAAUAAGUUUAAGUACUAGAAUUGCUAGAACUAAAACAUAACUGAAAUAAAAAAGAAUAAAAUUAAAGGCAAACUAAUAAAAAAAUUAUAAUAAAAAUAAAAAUGACAAAAGCAAAUAGAAAUUACUGAAACUUAAAAUUUAAAAUAAACUGUAUUUAAGAUAAAAAUAAAAUAGAAGCUCAUUCAAAAUAAUAAUAUAAAUACUAU